GACGAACCGUGCAAACGUUGUUCGGAAUCACUGGGCUUAAAGGGCGCGUAGGCGGCUCGCCAAGUCGGGGGUGAAAUCUUUCGGCUCAACCGGAAAAGUGCCUUCGAUACUGGCGGGCUGGAGGGAGGUAGGGGCAUGUGGAACUUCCGGUGGAGCGGUGAAAUGCGUUGAUAUCGGAAGGAACGCCGGUGGCGAAAGCGACGUGCUGGACCUCUUCUGACGCUGAGGCGCGAAAGCUAGGGGAGCGAACGGG
RNAcentral lists this ribosomal RNA (253 nucleotides) under uncultured bacterium. RNAcentral describes it as "partial 16S ribosomal RNA". It matches the Rfam family "Bacterial small subunit ribosomal RNA", at positions 524 to 776 of the family's 1533-position model. RNAcentral also lists the same sequence under 1 other name. The record is from RNAcentral.